CAAUAAAUUUCUAUCUUUGCAGGACUUUCGGAAAAGGGAAUCGCGUGGAAAUCGCGAGCUGUCCCCGCAACUGUAAAUCACGAUUGAGGAUUUCUCAAAGUUUGCCGCAAUUUUUUGCCACUGUUGUAAAAUGGGAAGGCGCGGCAAAGUGAAAGCCAGGAGACCUUGCUGAAAGUGCUCUAAUAA
This 186-nucleotide non-coding RNA is filed under the name Cruoricaptor ignavus. The record is from RNAcentral. Lineage: Bacteria; Pseudomonadati; Bacteroidota; Flavobacteriia; Flavobacteriales; Weeksellaceae.